GACGAACGCUGGCGGCGUGCUUAACACAUGCAAGUCGAACGGAAAGGCCCUGCUUUUGUGGGGUGCUCGAGUGGCGAACGGGUGAGUAACACGUGAGUAACCUGCCCUUGACUUUGGGAUAACUUCAGGAAACUGGGGCUAAUACCGGAUAGGAGCUCCUGCUGCAUGGUGGGGGUUGGAAAGUUUCGGCGGUUGGGGAUGGACUCGCGGCUUAUCAGCUUGUUGGUGGGGUAGUGGCUUACCAAGGCUUUGACGGGUAGCCGGCCUGAGAGGGUGACCGGCGACAUUGGGACUGAGGUAGGGACCAGACUCCUACGGGAGGCAGCGGUGGGGAAUAUUGCACAAUGGGCGGAAGCCUGAUGCAGCAACGCCGCGUGCGGGAUGACGGCCUUCGGGUUGUAAACCGCUUUCGCCUGUGACGAAGCGGGAGUGACGGUAAUGAGUAAAGAAGCACCGGCUAACUACGUG
Molecule: ribosomal RNA, 468 nt
Filed under: uncultured bacterium
Lineage: Bacteria
Description: partial 16S ribosomal RNA
Rfam family: Bacterial small subunit ribosomal RNA
Source: RNAcentral